CUCCCCCGCCCCCAAUAGCUAGCCCACCCCCAAAACCCAACAACCCCCAUCAAUAAACCCAAAUACCACAGUAUUCCUUAAACAAACCAUUUUACCCCCUAAGUAUGGGAGACAGAAAAGAGAACAGGAGCGAUAGAUAAAGUACCGCAAGGGAAAGCUGAAAGAGAACUGAAAAAAUCCAGUUAAGGGCAAUAAAGCAGAGACUAAACCUCGUACCUUUUGCAUCAUGACCUAGCGAGUAUUACCAAGCAAAAUGUUUUUUAGUUUGUACCCCCGAAACUAAGUGAGCUACUCCAAGACAGCCUAUUAUAGGGCACACCCGUCUCUGUGGCAAAAGAGUGGGAAGAGCUUUGAGUAGAGGUGACAGACCUAUCGAACUUAGUUAUAGCUGGUUGCCUGAGAAAUGAAUAGAAGUUCAACCCUUAUGAGUCUUAGGUCCAUCAGGGCCCAGCCUCCAAAUGAUUAAGAGACUCUAAAGGAGAUAUUCAAAAGAGGUACAGCUCUUUUGAAAAGAGAUACAACUCUCCUAGAUGGAUAAAGAUCAAACCGAAAAAUUAAAGUACCCAGGUGGGCCUAAAAGCAGCCAUCCCCUCAAAAAGCGUUAAAGCUUAAGUACUAAACUUACCAAAUCUCGACAAAACAUCUUAAACCCCUUUGUAUAUCAGGCCAUUUCAUCUUAACAUGAAAAAGAAAAUGCUAACAUGAGUAAUAAGAGGGCCUUUGCCCCUCUCCCUUUCACCUGUGUAAAUCAGAACGAACCCCCACUGACAAUUAACCGCCCCCACAUAAAGAGGGUAUUGAGACAUAAUUCACUACACCGGAAAACCUCUCACCUACGAGCGUUACCCCCACACAGGAGUGAUAAAGGAAAGACAAAAGAAAAAAGAAGGAACUCGGCAAACACUGGCCUCGCCUGUUUACCAAAAACAUCGCCUCUUGAUUAUUCACAGUAUAAGAGGUCCCGCCUGCCCUGUGACAAUAGUUUAACGGCCGCGGUAUUCUGACCGUGCGAAGGUAGCGUAAUCACUUGUCUUUUAAAUAGAGACCUGUAUGAACGGCAUAACGAGGGCUAAGCUGUCUCCUUUUUUCAGUCAAUGAAAUUGAUCUGCCCGUGCAGAAGCGAGCAUAAAUAUAUAAGACGAGAAGACCCUAUGGAGCUUUAGACACAGAAGUAGACUACGUUAAGCACCUCACCUAACGAGAUUAAACCAAGUAUGACCCUACUUCUGUCUUUGGUUGGGGCGACCAUGGGGCAAUAAGCAACCCCCACGUGGAAGAGGACACCUACCUUAAGGCGAGGCCGACAGGCCUAGCAAGCAGAACAUCUGACCUACAAAGAUCCGGCAAAGCCGAUCAACGGACCCAGUUACCCUAGGGAUAACAGCGCAAUCCCCUUUUAGAGUCCCUAUCGACAAGGGGGUUUACGACCUCGAUGUUGGAUCAGGACUUCCUAAUGGUGCAGCCGCUAUUAAGGGUUC
Molecule: ribosomal RNA, 1478 nt
Filed under: Bathygobius sp. NMBE 1066533
Lineage: Eukaryota; Metazoa; Chordata; Actinopteri; Gobiiformes; Gobiidae
Description: partial 16S ribosomal RNA
Rfam family: Bacterial large subunit ribosomal RNA
Source: RNAcentral